UGGCUCAGUGGUUAAGAGCACUGGCUGCUAUUCCAGAGGACCUGGGCUCAAUUCCCAG
This 58-nucleotide transfer RNA is filed under the name Cricetulus griseus (Chinese hamster). It matches the Rfam family "tRNA", at positions 8 to 63 of the family's 71-position model. From Rfam's summary of the family: Transfer RNA (tRNA) molecules are approximately 80 nucleotides in length. The record is from Rfam by way of RNAcentral. Lineage: Eukaryota; Metazoa; Chordata; Mammalia; Rodentia; Cricetidae.